GGAAUCUUCCACAAUGGGCGAAAGCCUGAUGGAGCAACGCCGCGUGUGUGAUGAAGGGUUUCGGCUCGUAAAACNCUGUUGUAAGAGAAGAAUGACAUUGAGAGUAACUGUUCAAUGUGUGACGGUAUCUUACCAGAAAGGAACGGCUAAAUACGUGCCAG
Molecule: ribosomal RNA, 161 nt
Filed under: uncultured bacterium
Lineage: Bacteria
Description: partial 16S ribosomal RNA
Rfam family: Bacterial small subunit ribosomal RNA
Source: RNAcentral